This 377-nucleotide ribosomal RNA is filed under the name uncultured bacterium. Its description in RNAcentral is "bacterial SSU rRNA". It matches the Rfam family "Bacterial small subunit ribosomal RNA", at positions 28 to 407 of the family's 1533-position model. The record is from RNAcentral.
GACGAACGCUGGCGGCGUGCUUAACACAUGCAAGUCGAGCGGUAAGGCCCUUUCGGGGGUACACGAGCGGCGAACGGGUGAGUAACACGUGGGUGACCUGCCCUUAGCUCUGGGAUAAGCCUGGGAAACUGGGUCUAAUACCGGAUAUGACUCCAUAACGCAUGUUGUGGGGUGGAAAGCCUUGUGCGGCUAGGGAUGGGCCCGCGGCCUAUCAGCUUGUUGGUGGGGUGAUGGCCUACCAAGGCGACGACGGGUAGCCGGCCUGAGAGGCGACCGGCCACACUGGGACUGAGACACGGCCCAGACUCCUACGGGAGGCAGCAGUGGGGAACCUUGCGCAAUGGGCGAAAGCCUGACGCAGCGACGCCGCGUGGGGA